RNAcentral lists this ribosomal RNA (301 nucleotides) under uncultured bacterium. RNAcentral describes it as "partial 16S ribosomal RNA". It matches the Rfam family "Bacterial small subunit ribosomal RNA", at positions 509 to 807 of the family's 1533-position model. The record is from RNAcentral.
CAGCCGCCGCGGGAACACGUAGGGUGCAAGCGUUAAUCGGAAUUACUGGGCGUAAAGCGUGCGCAGGCGGUUUUGUAAGACAGAGGUGAAAUCCCCGGGCUCAACCUGGGAACUGCCUUUGUGACUGCAAGGCUAGAGUACGGCAGAGGGGGAUGGAAUUCCGCGUGUAGCAGUGAAAUGCGUAGAUAUGCGGAGGAACACCGAUGGCGAAGGCAAUCCCCUUGGCCUGUACUGACGCUCAUGCACGAAAGCGUGGGGAGCAAACAGGAUUAGAUACCCCGGUAGUCCCUGUCUCUUAUAC